UAGAGUUUGAUCCUGGCUCAGAACGAACGCUGGCGGCGUGCCUAACACAUGCAAGUCCAACGUGAAAGGGGAGCAAUCCCCCGGUAGGGUGGCAAACGGGUGAGUAAUACAUGGGUGAUCUACCUUAGGGAUGGGGAUAUCCUUCCGAAAGGAGGGGCAAUACCGAAUAUUGUCCGGAGCCGUGAAGGGUUCCGGGGAAAGGGAGGCCUCUGAUACAAGCUUUCGCCUUAAGAUGAGCCCAUGGCCCAUCAGCUAGUUGGUAGGGUAAAGGCCUACCAAGGCUACGACGGGUCGCUGGUCUGAGAGGACGACCAGCCACACUGGCACUGAGAUACGGGCCAGACUCCUACGGGAGGCAGCAGUGAGGAAUAUUGCGCAAUGGGGGAAACCCUGACGCACGCAAGCGCCGCGUGUGGGAAGAAGGCCUUCGGGUCGUAAACCACUUUUGCACGGGACGAAAAAGGGAUAUCGAACAAAUAUCCCCGAUGACGGUACCGUGAGAAUAAGCCACGGCUAACUCUGGUGCCAGCAGCCGCGGUAAGACAGAGGUUGGCAAGCGUUUGUUCGGAAUUACUGGGCGUAAAGAGUCUGUAGGGUGGUUUUGUCAAGUCUUUUGGAUGAAAGGCCGUUAGCCUUAACCUAUGGGAAUGCCAAAGAGCACUGGUCAGGGCUUGGAGGCUGGGAGAAGGGAAGCCGGGUAAUUUCUUGGUUGUUAGCCGGUGAAAUGCCGUUAGUAUAUCAAGAAGGAAGGCCGGUGGCGAAAGCGGCUUUCCUGGGAACAGUUCCUGACACUGAGAGACGAAAGCGUGGGGAGCAAACAGGGAUUAGAUACCCUGGUAG
RNAcentral lists this ribosomal RNA (840 nucleotides) under Leptospirillum ferrooxidans. RNAcentral describes it as "bacterial SSU rRNA". It matches the Rfam family "Bacterial small subunit ribosomal RNA", at positions 1 to 793 of the family's 1533-position model. The record is from RNAcentral. Lineage: Bacteria; Pseudomonadati; Nitrospirota; Nitrospiria; Nitrospirales; Nitrospiraceae.